AGACCGUGUCCCGCGGGGCUGUCACCUCCGCCUCUGCGCCCCGACCCGGCCAUGCGCGGCCUCGGGCUCUGGCUGCUGGGCGCGAUGAUGCUGCCUGCGAUUGCCCCCAGCCGGCCCUGGGCCCUCGUGGAGCAGUAUGAGGUCGUGCUGCCGCGGCGUCUGCCAGGCCCCCGAGUCCGCCGAGCUCUGCCCUCCCACUUGGGCCUGCACCCAGAGAGGGUGAGCUACGUCCUUGGGGCCACAGGGCACAACUUCACCCUCCACCUGCGGAAGAACAGGGACCUGCUGGGCUCCGGCUACACGGAGACCUAUACGGCUGCCAAUGGCUCCGAGGUGACGGAGCAGCCUCGUGGGCAGGACCACUGCUUCUACCAGGGCCACGUAGAGGGAUACCCGGACUCAGCCGCCAGCCUCAGCACCUGUGCCGGCCUCAGGUGGGGUCAGACCUACACCUGAUCGAGCCCCUGGAUGAAGGUGGCGAGGGCGGACGGCACGCCGUGUACCAGGCUGAGCACCUGCUGCAGACGGCCGGGACAUGCGGGGUCAGCGACGACAGCCUG
RNAcentral lists this small RNA (560 nucleotides) under Pan troglodytes (chimpanzee). RNAcentral describes it as "processed transcript". Lineage: Eukaryota; Metazoa; Chordata; Mammalia; Primates; Hominidae. The record is from RNAcentral.